Molecule: ribosomal RNA, 253 nt
Filed under: uncultured bacterium
Lineage: Bacteria
Description: partial 16S ribosomal RNA
Rfam family: Bacterial small subunit ribosomal RNA
Source: RNAcentral
UACAGAGGGGGCAAGCGUUGUUCGGAAUUACUGGGCGUAAAGGGCGCGUAGGCGGCCUUCUAAGUCGAACGUGAAAUCCCCGGGCUCAACCCGGGAACUGCGUCCGAUACUGGAAGGCUUGAAUCCGGGAGAGGGAUGCGGAAUUCCAGGUGUAGCGGUGAAAUGCGUAGAUAUCUGGAGGAAUACCAGUGGCGAAGGCGGCCUUCUGGACUGACACUGACGCUGAGGCGCGAAAGCCAGGGGAGCAAACGGG